Non-coding RNA from Thiorhodospira sibirica ATCC 700588, 218 nucleotides. NCBI's taxonomy places the organism in Bacteria, Pseudomonadati, Pseudomonadota, Gammaproteobacteria, Chromatiales, Ectothiorhodospiraceae. The record is from Rfam.
UCAUCAGGAGUCCUGACAGGCGAUCGCGUGUCAGGGUGAAACGGGAAGACCGGUGCCGUUUGAGCCAACAGGCUUAAACCAUUCCGGCGCAGCCCCCGCUGCUGUAAGCCUGAGGUAUUGCGUUCAUCUAUGCCACUGAGUGGUUUUAUCACUUGGGAAGGCAAGCGCAAACCGUUUGCAGGGUAAGCCAGAAGACCGACCUGUUGAGUGUUUUAGAG